AUAUUCACAGCUUCUGGCUUAGAUCAAGUGUAGUAUCUGGUAUGUUCUCUCACUCAUCUUUCUCAUCCAUUUACAUGCUAACAAUCACCAGUUCUUCAUAGUCUAAUCGCUAUGACAUGGCCACGGCCAUUCUAAUGAUUAUUCAUCUUUUUGGAACUCGCUGGAAGACCUCUGGGCUUGCACAUGUCUUUUUGGCACAGUGUCGCUUGUAUUGCACUACUUCAAGCUGACGCGAACCCAU
This 241-nucleotide small nuclear RNA is filed under the name Aureobasidium pullulans EXF-150. RNAcentral's name for it is "U2 spliceosomal RNA". It matches the Rfam family "U2 spliceosomal RNA". Rfam says of the family: U2 is a small nuclear RNA (snRNA) component of the spliceosome (involved in pre-mRNA splicing). Lineage: Eukaryota; Fungi; Ascomycota; Dothideomycetes; Dothideales; Saccotheciaceae. The record is from Rfam by way of RNAcentral.